RNAcentral lists this non-coding RNA (30 nucleotides) under Mus musculus (house mouse). Lineage: Eukaryota; Metazoa; Chordata; Mammalia; Rodentia; Muridae. The record is from RNAcentral.
AUCCAUCCAUCCAUCCAUCCAUCCACCCAC